UACGGGGGGGGCAAGCGUUGUUCGGAAUUAUUGGGUUUAAAGGGUGCGUAGGCGGUCCUAUAAGUCAGUGCUGAAAUAUCCCGGCUUAACCGGGAGGGUGGCAUUGAUACUGUUGGACUUGAGUAAAGUUGAGGUUGGCGGAAUUGACGGUGUAGCGGUGAAAUGCUUAGAUAUCGGAAGGAACAUCAGUGGCGAAAGCGGCUUCCUGGACCAGCACCGACGUUCAGGCACGAAAGCGUGGGGAGCAAACAGG
Molecule: ribosomal RNA, 253 nt
Filed under: uncultured bacterium
Lineage: Bacteria
Description: partial 16S ribosomal RNA
Rfam family: Bacterial small subunit ribosomal RNA
Source: RNAcentral